CCUACGGGAGGCAGCAGUGAGGAAUAUUGGUCAAUGGGCGGAAGCCUGAACCAGCCAAGUAGCGUGCAGGAUGACGGCCCUACGGGUUGUAAACUGCUUUUAUACGGGAAUAAAGCGCCUUACGUGUAGGGCGUUGCAUGUACCGUAUGAAUAAGGACCGGCUAAUUCCGUGCCAGCAGCCGCGGUAAGACGGACGGUCCGGGCGUUAUCCGGAUUUAUUGGGGUUAAAGGGAGCGUAGGCGGCAUGGCAAGCGUGCUGUGAAAUGUCCGGGCUCAACCCGGGCCUUGCCGCGCGAACUGGCGUGCUUGAGUCCGCGGAAAGCAGGCGGCAUUCGUCGUGUAGCGGU
RNAcentral lists this ribosomal RNA (347 nucleotides) under uncultured bacterium. RNAcentral describes it as "partial 16S ribosomal RNA". It matches the Rfam family "Bacterial small subunit ribosomal RNA", at positions 338 to 682 of the family's 1533-position model. The record is from RNAcentral.